Molecule: long non-coding RNA, 201 nt
Filed under: Prunus persica (peach)
Lineage: Eukaryota; Viridiplantae; Streptophyta; Magnoliopsida; Rosales; Rosaceae
Description: long non-coding RNA (PPER_LNC004854)
Source: RNAcentral
GACUCCUUCCAUUCCUCAGUGUACUAAUCAAUGAAGUACAUCACCAUUGUAAGCGCCAAUGGAGAAGAAGUAUGACAUUAUGACCAUAAGGUCAUUUGACCCAAUAUGGCUAGAAGGCCAAAUUUCAUAUAUAUAUAACAACAACAAAAUUUGAAUAAUUGAGUAUCACUAACAAAUAACAUUUUGUAGAUUAGCAAUUUC